Long non-coding RNA from Chelonoidis abingdonii (Abingdon island giant tortoise), 426 nucleotides. RefSeq lists it as uncharacterized. The record is from RefSeq and is a predicted model, not a curated record. Lineage: Eukaryota; Metazoa; Chordata; Testudines; Testudinidae.
ACCACAGAGUUCUGCAGUCAGUUGAGAAGCCUGGGCCCUUACAGCAGAUGUAGGGUUUGCUAGAGGAAGCUGAGCUAGUAAGACAGGGUGCACUGGAAAGAAGCUGCUGAAAAUAACUGUUUAGAGAGGCUGUAUAGCUGGCAAGGGAGACUGAUCCUGUUUUAGCUCCCUGAAGACUGGCUUCACCAGGCCUAGAGAUUUUUGUUUUGGGAUGUUGAAGUUCUGAGUAGUCCUAACUUGGGCUCUGAGACUGUUAGUGUGAACUCCUUACCUCAUGGAAGGGGAAACUGAGACAGGCUGCAGCAGGGACACUUAGAAGGGGGUACUACAGAACAGGUUCACCCUGAGACAGUGUAAACUGAAUCAGUAUCUUCAUUCUGAUGGAUUCCACUAACUUUUCCUCUCUUGUUACCAGUGGUCUCCACA